GUCAGAUGUGAAAUCCCCGGGCUCAACCUGGGAACUGCAUUUGAAACUGGCAAGCUAGAGUCUCGUAGAGGGGGGUAGAAUUCCAGGUGUAGCGGUGAAAUGCGUAGAGAUCUGGAGGAAUACCGGUGGCGAAGGCGGCCCCCUGGACGAAGACUGACGCUCAGGUGCGAA
RNAcentral lists this ribosomal RNA (171 nucleotides) under Serratia marcescens. Its description in RNAcentral is "partial 16S ribosomal RNA". It matches the Rfam family "Bacterial small subunit ribosomal RNA", at positions 587 to 757 of the family's 1533-position model. The record is from RNAcentral. Lineage: Bacteria; Pseudomonadati; Pseudomonadota; Gammaproteobacteria; Enterobacterales; Yersiniaceae.